RNAcentral lists this small RNA (907 nucleotides) under Pan troglodytes (chimpanzee). RNAcentral's name for it is "retained intron". The record is from RNAcentral. Lineage: Eukaryota; Metazoa; Chordata; Mammalia; Primates; Hominidae.
UUCUGUGUGUUUGGAUCGAGUAUGAGAGAUGUCAGAGGAGAUCUACAGAGAACCAUGAGGAGUUGGAGGAGGGAGUUCAGGAGUAUUCCCUGGAGUUACUACCCACCCUUCUCCCCUUUCUGGCUAAGGUAGGAGGCUGGUAUUCUAGCAUGCCCCAUGGAGCAGAUCUAACCCCCUUGUCUGCCUGGCAGGGGACACCAUCGCCAGCGUCAAUGGCCUGAAUGUGGAAGGCAUCCGGCAUCGAGAGAUUGUGGACAUCAUUAAGGCGUCAGGCAAUGUUCUCAGACUGGAAACUCUAUAUGGGACAUCAAUUCGGAAGGCAGAACUGGAGGCUCGUCUGCAGUACCUGAAGCAAACCCUGUAUGAGAAGUGGGGAGAGUACAGGUCCCUAAUGGUGCAGGAGCAGCGGCUGGUGCAUGGCCUGGUGGUGAAGGACCCCAGCAUCUACGACACGCUGGAGUCGGUGCGCUCCUGCCUCUACGGCGCGGGCCUGCUCCCGGGCUCGCUGCCCUUCGGGCCUCUGCUCGCCGUGCCCGGGCGUCCCCGCGGAGGCGCCCGACGGGCCAGGGGCGACGCCGACGACGCCGUCUACCACACGUGCUUCUUCGGGGACUCCGAGCCGCCGGCGCUGCCGCCCCCGCCGCCCCCGGCCCGCGCCUUCGGCCCGGGCCCCGCGAGACCCCUGCCGUGGGGCUGGGCCCUGGGCCGCGGGCCGCGCUGAGCCGCAGCGCCAGUGUGCGGUGCGCGGGCCCUGGCGGGGGCGGAGGCGGGGGCGCGCCGGGCGCGCUCUGGACUGAGGCUCGCGAGCAGGCCCUAUGCGGCCCCGGCCUGCGCAAAACCAAGUACCGCAGCUUCCGCCGGCGGCUGCUCAAGUUCAUCCCCGGACUCAACCGCUCCCUGGAGGAGG